Long non-coding RNA from Paramisgurnus dabryanus, 465 nucleotides. RefSeq lists it as uncharacterized. NCBI's taxonomy places the organism in Eukaryota, Metazoa, Chordata, Actinopteri, Cypriniformes, Cobitidae. The record is from RefSeq and is a predicted model, not a curated record.
GUUUGACGGAUAAAAUGGUUCUUACCAUUCUCUAUAUAAGCCCCUCUGUCUGUUAACUUUUGUUUGAGCCUGUCUAGAUCUUUUAUCAGUCUAGAAAGAUGUUGGAGAAAAGACAUCAUCCUCUUCUAUAAUCUCCAUCUGUAAUUGGACUAACAACUGGACCAGUGAAUGCAGGUCACACCAUGGUCUCAAGAGGGAAAAUGAGUGCUCUAUGGAUUGAACAGAAAAGGUGAAUCAAAACUCCAACCAUCUGUAUGAGGGGCUGGAUGGAUAAAGGAUGCCCACUGGAGCUGGAAAUGAUGGAUCAGGUGGAUCCACACUUGAACCAUCUGUAUGAUGAUCUGCACCCACUGGAUCUGUAAAUGGUGGUGCAGAAUUCUGGCCUGGUGUUUGGUCCCCCCUUUCUCUGGCUUGUGUCUCCAUCAUCAUUACACUCUUGUCAGUGUAAUUGUAUCAUCGUCUGCG